ACCAGACUCCUACGGGAGGCAGCAGUGGGGAAUAUUGCACAAUGGGGGAAACCCUGAUGCAGCAACGCCGCGUGAGUGAAGAAGUAUUUCGGUAUGUAAAGCUCUAUCAGCAGGGAAGAAGAUGACGGUACCUGAGUAAGAAGCCCCGGCUAACUACGUGCCAGCAGCCGCGGUAAUACGUAGGGGGCAAGCGUUAUCCGGAUUUACUGGGUGUAAAGGGAGCGUAGACGGUGAGACAAGUCUGAAGUGAAAGCCCGGGGCUCAACCCCGGGACUGCUUUGGAAACUGCCUGACUGGAGUGCUGGAGAGGCAAGCGGAAUUCCUAGUGUAGCGGUGAAAUGCGUAGAUAUUAGGAAGAACACCAGUGGCGAAGGCGGCCUGCUGGACAGUAACUGACGUUGAGGCUCGAAAGCGUGGGGAGCAAACAGGAUUAGAUACCCCAGUAAGC
Molecule: ribosomal RNA, 448 nt
Filed under: uncultured bacterium
Lineage: Bacteria
Description: bacterial SSU rRNA
Rfam family: Bacterial small subunit ribosomal RNA
Source: RNAcentral